CCUACGGGAGGCUGCAGUGGGGAAUAUUGCACAAUGGGCGCAAGCCUGAUGCAGCCAUGCCGCGUGUAUGAAGAAGGCCUUCGGGUUGUAAAGUACUUUCAGUCGUGAGGAAGGUGUUAAGGUUAAUAACCUUAGCAAUUGACGUUAGCGACAGAAGAAGCACCGGCUAACUCCGUGCCAGCAGCCGCGGUAAUACGGAGGGUGCGAGCGUUAAUCGGAAUUACUGGGCGUAAAGGGCACGCAGGCGGUUAAUUAAGUUGGAUGUGAUAUCACGGGGCUAAACAUGUGAAUAACAUGCAAGACUGGUUAGCUAGUGUCUUGUAGAGAGGGGUAGAAGUCCAUGUGUAGCGGUGAAAUGCGUAGAGGUGUCUAGGAAUAACGGUGGCGAAGACGGCCACAUGGACAAAGACUGACGCUAAUGUGAGAAAGCGUAGGGAGCAAACGGGAUUAGAGUCCCUUGUAGUC
This 465-nucleotide ribosomal RNA is filed under the name uncultured Arsenophonus sp. RNAcentral describes it as "bacterial SSU rRNA". It matches the Rfam family "Bacterial small subunit ribosomal RNA", at positions 338 to 795 of the family's 1533-position model. The record is from RNAcentral. Lineage: Bacteria; Pseudomonadati; Pseudomonadota; Gammaproteobacteria; Enterobacterales; Morganellaceae.